RNAcentral lists this long non-coding RNA (249 nucleotides) under Setaria viridis. Its description in RNAcentral is "long non-coding RNA (SVIR_LNC008338)". Lineage: Eukaryota; Viridiplantae; Streptophyta; Magnoliopsida; Poales; Poaceae. The record is from RNAcentral.
GACAAAGUGGAUAGGUGAGGAGAGUUAAAAUGGAUUUUUUUCAAAUUUUAUAUCAACCAAUUGCAUGAUUAACAUUCUAUGUUGAAUUGUUGAAAUAAUAUUUUUACAAUGUUAAACUUGCACAAUGUAAAAUGUAAAACUAGUACAGUAAAAAUAUUGGAUUCUGAAAAAAAUUCAUAUCAUAUCUCAUGGAAUCAAUUAAUUCUAAUAAAUAUUAUGAUUUAAACGGAUUUGAAAAGUGAUUUAUUA